AGCAGCCGCGGUAAUUCCAGCUCCAAUAGCGUAUAUUAAAGUUGUUGCAGUUAAAAAGCUCGUAGUUGAAUUUCGGGGUUAGCAGGUCGGUCGUGCCAUCGGUAUGAACUGGUCUCGCUGAUCCCUCCCUCUUGACGAACUGUGAUGCCAUUAAUUUGGUGUCGCAGGGAAUCAGGACUGUUACUUUGAAAAAAUUAGAGUGUUUAAAGCAGGCUCACGCUUGAAUACAUUAGCAUGGAAUAACGAAAUAGGACGUUUGAUCCUAUUUUGUUGGCUUCUAGGAUUGACGUAAUGAUUAAUAGGGAUAGUUGGGGGCAUUAGUAUUCAAUUGUCAGAGGUGAAAUUCUUGGAUUUAUUGAAGACUAACUACUGCGAAAGCAUUUGCCAAGGAUGUUUUCAUUAAUCAAGAACGAAAGUUAGGGGAUCGAAGACGAUCAGAUACCGUCGUAG
RNAcentral lists this ribosomal RNA (450 nucleotides) under uncultured Glomeromycotina. RNAcentral's name for it is "SSU rRNA". It matches the Rfam family "Eukaryotic small subunit ribosomal RNA", at positions 569 to 1023 of the family's 1831-position model. Lineage: Eukaryota; Fungi; Glomeromycota. The record is from RNAcentral.